GAUGAACGCUGGCGGCGUGCCUAAUACAUGCAAGUCGAGCGAACAGACGAGGAGCUUGCUCCUCUGACGUUAGCGGCGGACGGGUGAGUAACACGUGGAUAACCUACCUAUAAGACUGGGAUAACUUCGGGACACCGGAGCUAAUACCGGAUAAUAUAUUGAACCGCAUGGUUCAAUAGUGAAAGACGGUUUUGCUGUCACUUAUAGAUGGAUCCGCGCCGCAUUAGCUAGUUGGUAAGGUAACGGCUUACCAAGGCAACGAUGCGUAGCCGACCUGAGAGGGUGAUCGGCCACCCUGGAACUGAGACACGGUCCAGACUCCUACGGGAGGCAGCAGUAGGGAAUCUUCCGCAAUGGGCGAAAGCUUGACGGAGCAACGCCGCGUGAGAGAUGAAGGUCUUCGGAUCGUAAAACUCUGUUAUUAGGGAAGAACAAAUGUGUAAGUAACUAUGCACGUCUUGACGGUACCUAAUCAGAAAGCCACGGCUAACUACGUG
This 497-nucleotide ribosomal RNA is filed under the name uncultured bacterium. RNAcentral describes it as "partial 16S ribosomal RNA". It matches the Rfam family "Bacterial small subunit ribosomal RNA", at positions 28 to 507 of the family's 1533-position model. The record is from RNAcentral.